GACGAACGCUGGCGGCGUGCUUAACACAUGCAAGUCGAACGGAAAGGCCCUGCUUGCAGGGUACUCGAGUGGCGAACGGGUGAGUAACACGUGGGUGAUCUGCCCUGCACUUCGGGAUAAGCUUGGGAAACUGGGUCUAAUACCGGAUAGGAACCAUCUUUAGUGUGGUGGUUGGAAAGUUUUUUCGGUGUAGGAUGAGCUCGCGGCCUAUCAGCUUGUUGGUGGGGUAAUGGCCUACCAAGGCGGCGACGGGUAGCCGGCCUGAGAGGGUGUACGGCCACCUUGGGACUGAGAUACGGCCCAGACUCCUACGGGUGGCAGCAGUGGGGAAUAUUGCACAAUGGGCGCAAGCCUGAUGCAGCGACGCCGCGUGGGGGAUGAAGGCCUUCGGGUUGUAAACUCCUUUCGCUAGGGACGAAGCUUUUUGUGACGGUACCUAGAGAAGAAGCACCGGCUAACUACGUG
Molecule: ribosomal RNA, 465 nt
Filed under: uncultured bacterium
Lineage: Bacteria
Description: partial 16S ribosomal RNA
Rfam family: Bacterial small subunit ribosomal RNA
Source: RNAcentral